AGUGAACGCUGGCGGCGUGCCUAACACAUGCAAGUCGUACGGGCUUCGGGUAGCAAUACCCGGAGUCAGUGGCGAACGGGUGAGUAACACGUGGGUAACCUCCCCCCGAGUGAGGGAUAACCUCGCGAAAGCGGGGCUAAUACCGCAUAAUACCCCGGCGCAUAAGCGUUCGGGGUCAAAGCCGCAAGGCGCUUGGGGAUGGGCCCGCGUCCUAUCAGCUAGUUGGUAGGGUAAUGGCCUACCAAGGCGAUGACGGGUAGCCGGCCUGAGAGGGUGUCCGGCCACACUGGGACUGAGACACGGCCCAGACUCCUACGGGAGGCAGCAGUGAGGAAUAUUGCGCAAUGGGCGAAAGCCUGACGCAGCGACGCCGCGUGGGGGAUGAAGGCCUUCGGGUUGUAAACCCCUGUCAGAGGGGAAGA
Molecule: ribosomal RNA, 422 nt
Filed under: uncultured Aminicenantes bacterium
Lineage: Bacteria; Candidatus Aminicenantota
Description: bacterial SSU rRNA
Rfam family: Bacterial small subunit ribosomal RNA
Source: RNAcentral